UUCAUGGUCAUCUGGAUCAAGGAAGAGACGUCAUGGAAGAAGAGUGUGGUGGAAGAAAAGUUCACCUCAUAGUGGCCAGAAGCACAGAGCAGGAAAGAGUCCAAGAAGAGGCCAAAGAUCAAAUGUGGUCCCAAGGCCAGGCUGUAAUGACCUGCUUCCUCCAAGAAGGCUCCACAUCUCAGUGCCCCAUUGAGCAUUGAACUCUCCAAUGGUUGAAUCCAUUCAUGAGAUCCCAAGGAAAAUCCUAUUGUUUGGCUAGUAGGUGUGGUCUGAAAGCUGGGGUGAAGUUUUGAAGCUGAAAUUCUCAAGAGAAUGACAGGUUUUGUGCUAUGCCAUGGGCACCUAUUCCUCUGCCAUGCUGUCCUGCCUGGAAGCCAUCAGACUACGGACUGAAACCUCUAUAUAAACUUUUGUCAGCUGCUGAGUGGUGUAAAAUUCUUUUGCCGAGGAACAAGACCAUCCCAGUCAACUCCAUCCCACAGCCUGGCCAGUCAGCAGAGCGGACACCAUCUUAGGCCUCUUAUUUUUUCUUUUGCCCAAGUGUCUGAAAGGAGCAUCCUCUUUAAUUUAAGCCUACAUGUGGAGUGAACAUCCUUGCCUGUGACUCCCGAACAACAUAAACAGCUGUUUCUUGAAGACAGACAAGGAAGAGUAAAAUGGUUGGGAGAGAGAGAGUCUAUACAUUAAUGUCCAGCACCGAGUGAGCCCUUGUGAAGUGUGGACCUUGGAGAGCAUGUCAAGCAGUCUCAUUCAUUUUAACAAAUGCACCGUACUGGUGGGGGAUGAGGAGAAAGGACCAGGUGGGGGCACAAGAGUUAUGGGAACAAACAGAUGAUUCAGACUUCAGACAGGGGUCUGUGCAACCUUCUAGAGAACUCAGACUGUCCUUCUCCAUGGAAGGAAGAAUGCUGCAACCUGUUUCCUGAGAUGAAGUAUGGCUCUUAGAGACGGGCAUUUGGUGCACAGACUUCGGCCGGAAUACCUUUGCUCCUCCACACGUUCUAACUGGCAAAAACAACCUCAGACUGCAGUAGGGAAAUAUCUGAAAUGAUCCUGCAAGAUAUUUGUCUCCUCAACUUGGAUAUACUCUGAAGCUAAAGCUUUACUUCUAAUGAGUAGCAUAUAGUAAGAAUGCCAGCUGCAAUGCUGUGAGCCUCUCCACAGGAGGCCCACAGAGUGAGGAACUAGGAGAGGCACCUGUCAUCAGCCAGUGAGCAUGAAGGCCCUUGGUCCAAUGGCUUAAGAACUGGAUUCUGCACGAACACCCUGUGAC
This 1273-nucleotide long non-coding RNA is filed under the name Heterocephalus glaber (naked mole-rat). RNAcentral describes it as "lncRNA (ENSHGLG00100038951.1)". Lineage: Eukaryota; Metazoa; Chordata; Mammalia; Rodentia; Bathyergidae. The record is from RNAcentral.